AAAAAAAAGAAAAAGCUGUUUUCAGAAACUCUGAAAGAGCUUAAUCCCAUCAGGCUUUAUUAAUUGCAUCUAAUAUAAGUCUGGGAAAUGCCAGGGAAGACUUCAUGUGCUGCCUCACACAAAGGCUAAAAAGCAGCUGGAAGUCAUUGAUCGCACAGCACCCCGGAGCGCCGGUUCUCCGAAUCCAUCCAGCCAUUUAAAUCGCCUUCUGCCUGGCUGUAAAAGGCAGCUGGUCACAAGGAGUUAAUUCUUCUCCCUGCUCGGUGCGUGUGUCUCAAGUUUCCAUGGCGGUUUUGCUUUUGAUUUCGCGGAGUCCAGAUUUAUAGGCAUGCGACGGUGACUCAGGCCUUCGCCUUUGCACGCAGCCGGCCCCAUGCGCGGCUGCGGCCGUGUCCCAGGGAAGAACGGGUUAAGCAAAUCACCGGCAGAAGGAGAAUCUAUUCCUUCUUUGUCUGCACCCCGCCGCCAUGCCGUCCGCUGCGCUCCACCCUGCUCUCGGGGCUCCCCUAUCUCUGUCUGGCUGCGUUGUGGCCGUGGCGUGCACGAGGGGGGAGCAAUGCCGUCGCUGCUCGCGGUAGGCUAGCUUGCCUGGGGAUUCGCGCCGCGCGGAUGCAGGAGCAGGUAGGCCGCGCCCGGGCUCCCGCGGGGGAGCGGCGCCGGGGCUGGGCUGCGCCGAGAGCGCUCCCGAACGCACCGGAGGCCGCGGCGUCAGACGAAGGCAUUUUCUGUGCAUUGGGCACAAAAACGAAUGCCUGCCAACAGAGAGCCAUGUGAGACGCUCCCUUGCAUUGGGCGGCUGCCCAGACGUUCAGCUGCAAGAGUCGAUCUAAUUGGUGGUUUCCUCUUCCCAUGCGCAGCUUCAUGUGGGAAAUGCCCUUUUUUUAUCUACAAUGGCUGACUGCACUAUGCCGCACUGUCAGUGUCUGGAGGUUUCCUGUUGAGAUGAAUGCAGUUUGUUUCUGAACGCUAGACUUUGCCAAGGGGGAGAUGGUAUUGUUUUAGCUGAUUC
Molecule: long non-coding RNA, 1009 nt
Filed under: Crocodylus porosus (Australian saltwater crocodile)
Lineage: Eukaryota; Metazoa; Chordata; Crocodylia; Crocodylidae
Description: lncRNA (ENSCPRG00005007927.1)
Source: RNAcentral